AGUGAACGCUGGCGGUAGGCCUAACACAUGCAAGUCGAACGGCAGCACAGUAAGAGCUUGCUCUUACGGGUGGCGAGUGGCGGACGGGUGAGGAAUACAUCGGAAUCUACUUUUUCGUGGGGGAUAACGUAGGGAAACUUACGCUAAUACCGCAUACGACCUACGGGUGAAAGCAGGGGAUCUUCCGACCUUGCGCGAUUGAAUGAGCCGAUGUCGGAUUAGCUAGUUGGCGGGGUAAAGGCCCACCAAGGCGACGAUCCGUAGCUGGUCUGAGAGGAUGAUCAGCCACACUGGAACUGGGACACGGUCCAGACUCCUACGGGAGGCAGCAGUGGGGAAUAUUGGACAAUGGGCGCAAGCCUGAUCCAGCCAUACCGCGUGGGUGAAGAAGGCCUUCGGGUUGUAAAGCCCUUUUGUUGGGAAAGAAAAGCAGCAGGUUAAUACCCCGCUGUUCUGACGGUACCCAAAGAAUAAGCACCGGCUAACUUCGUG
Molecule: ribosomal RNA, 492 nt
Filed under: uncultured bacterium
Lineage: Bacteria
Description: partial 16S ribosomal RNA
Rfam family: Bacterial small subunit ribosomal RNA
Source: RNAcentral